GAUGAACGCUGGCUACAGGCUUAACACAUGCAAGUCGAGGGGAAACGACGGGGAAGCUUGCUUCCCCGGGCGUCGACCGGCGCACGGGUGAGUAACGCGUAUCCAACCUGCCUCUGACUGAGGGAUAACCCGUCGAAAGUCGGCCUAAUACCUCAUGGCAUCGUCUGCGGGCAUCCAACGACGAUUAAAGAUUUCAUCGGUCAGGGAUGGGGAUGCGUCUGAUUAGCUUGUUGGCGGGCUAACGGCCCACCAAGGCUACGAUCAGUAGGGGUUCUGAGAGGAAGGUCCCCCACAUUGGAACUGGGAAACGGUCCAAACUCCUACGGGAGGCAGCAGUGAGGAAUGUAGGUCAAUGGGAGGGAGCCUGAACCAGCCAAGUAGCGUGCAGGAUGACGGCCCUAUGGGUUGUAAACUGCUUUUAUGCGGGGAUAAAGUGAGGGACGUGUCCUUGAUUGCAGGUAACGCAUGAAUAAGGACCGGCUAAUUACGUG
This 491-nucleotide ribosomal RNA is filed under the name uncultured bacterium. RNAcentral's name for it is "partial 16S ribosomal RNA". It matches the Rfam family "Bacterial small subunit ribosomal RNA", at positions 28 to 507 of the family's 1533-position model. The record is from RNAcentral.